Molecule: transfer RNA, 74 nt
Filed under: Spirochaetaceae bacterium
Lineage: Bacteria; Pseudomonadati; Spirochaetota; Spirochaetia; Spirochaetales; Spirochaetaceae
Description: tRNA-Arg
Rfam family: tRNA
About the family: Transfer RNA (tRNA) molecules are approximately 80 nucleotides in length.
Source: RNAcentral
GCGUCCGUAGCUCAGUUGGAUAGAGCGACGGACUUCGAAUCCGUAGGCCGCGCGUUCGAGCCGCGCCGGACGCA